UACGGAGGGGGCGAGCGUUAUUCGGAAUUAUUGGGCGUAAAGGGCGCGUAGGCGGCUCGCUAAGUCGGAUGUGAAAACUCUGGGCUCAACCCAGAGCCUGCAUUCGAAACUGACGAGCUGGAGUUCUGGAGGGGAAAGCGGAAUUCCUGGUGUAGCGGUGAAAUGCGUAGAUAUCAGGAGGAACACCGGUGGCGAAGGCGGCUUUCUGGACAGAAACUGACGCUGAUGCGCGAAAGCUAGGGGAGCAAACAGG
This 253-nucleotide ribosomal RNA is filed under the name uncultured bacterium. Its description in RNAcentral is "partial 16S ribosomal RNA". It matches the Rfam family "Bacterial small subunit ribosomal RNA", at positions 524 to 776 of the family's 1533-position model. The record is from RNAcentral.